GGGUCGUUAGCUCAGUUGGAGAGCAGUUGACUUUUAAUCAUUGGUCGCAGGUUCGAAUCCUGCACGACCCACCA
This 74-nucleotide transfer RNA is filed under the name Escherichia coli O104:H4 str. 04-8351. RNAcentral's name for it is "tRNA-Lys". It matches the Rfam family "tRNA". From Rfam's summary of the family: Transfer RNA (tRNA) molecules are approximately 80 nucleotides in length. Their secondary structure includes four short double-helical elements and three loops (D, anti-codon, and T loops). Lineage: Bacteria; Pseudomonadati; Pseudomonadota; Gammaproteobacteria; Enterobacterales; Enterobacteriaceae. The record is from RNAcentral.